UGGCCGUUCUUAGUUCUGGAGUGAUCUGUCUGCUUAAUUGCGUUUCACUAGGGCCCAUAAAUUCAAGGUAUGUUAGCUAUCGUCGCUCUAUGGACCCCUUAACCGAGUUAAAUCGAGUUAAGCGCGCGUCUUUAUUUAAAGAGUUUAAGACAUUGCGCAUGCUGUUGGGCUCUGAAAGCAACGAACGUGACCGCAACGUCUUGUUGCCUUAAUAAAGUUGUGUUAAUAGCAUUCAAUUGCUAUUAAUAACCGCUUACAGAGGCUAUUUAAAACUAGACGGACCGCUGUUUCUUUUCUUAAACCAGAGGAAGGUUGCGGCAAUAACAGG
RNAcentral lists this ribosomal RNA (328 nucleotides) under Neogloboquadrina pachyderma. Its description in RNAcentral is "bacterial SSU rRNA". The record is from RNAcentral. Lineage: Eukaryota; Foraminifera; Rotaliida; Globorotaliidae.